Molecule: long non-coding RNA, 594 nt
Filed under: Brassica napus (rape)
Lineage: Eukaryota; Viridiplantae; Streptophyta; Magnoliopsida; Brassicales; Brassicaceae
Description: long non-coding RNA (BNAP_LNC020496)
Source: RNAcentral
CAUAAACCUUUCAUUGCUCUCUUUUUGAAAGCUCUUACAUUCUCAACAUUAAGAAAUGAAAAUCUAUGCUUUAGUUUUAUUGUUUUACUACUUUCUAAAACACUAAAUCAAACAAUUUAUACCGAAUUAUUCUUUGGUUCACUCCCAAGGGUGAACCCGUAAGUUCACCAACCAAAGAUCACCAAGCAAUAAUAUUUUGUUAUUUUAUAUUCAGUAAAAUAACAAAAUAAUAAGAAUUUGCUAAGUUAUAUUAUAUUUUUAAAUAAAAAGGUAAAAAAUAAAUAAAAAUAAAAGUAAUUGCAGCAAAAAAGGAAUUUUUCAAAAAUAUGUUUAAUGCUGUCAUUAAAAUACUAAACCUUAAAUCCUAAAAACUGAACCCUAAACCCUUAAAUAAAACCUAAACUCUUCGAUAAAUCCUAAACCCUACAUCGUAAACACUAAAUCUUGAAAACACUAAACCCUUAAUCCUAAACCAUAAAUCCUUGAAUAAAUCUUAAAUCCUAAGCCAUAAAUCUUAAUCAUAAAUCCUAAACCUAAACUCAAAACCUUAUACCAAACACUUGUCCUAAACCUAACUCUUAAACUAUAGACUCA